UGUAAUUGUAACUUAUUCUGGGAGAUACUAUGAGUGUUCCACAACCAACAAUCUCCUGCAUAUAAAAUUUCCAAGGGAUCCAGACAAUUACAUUGAAAAUUGCUGGUUAUUCAAUAAUCUUGGACAGGGAAACAGAGAGGAAGAUUUGACGAACAAACGAGAUGCCACAUUCCAUGACGAAUAUAUCUUUGACCAUAUGAUCGAAGUGGAUGGUGACAAUCAUCCGAGUAUAAACACCACUGAGGAAAUUAAUUAUAUUACGACCACAAUUAAUGAUCAGGGUCUUGAAGAAGGUCAUUACUAAUCAUUCCCCAAAAUGCAAAAGGCAUGAAAUUGAUGAGAUCGUGGAUGGUACACUGCAGCGACGAAGACCAAUCAUUCUUGACGCUCCAAAGAUGGAUUAUGAUGAAAGGAAACUGAAAUUAGAACGUAUUAGAAAAUUAGAAAAUUUUAUAUGAAUAAAUUAUUGAAAAGAUAAUUUUUUAUACCUA
Molecule: non-coding RNA, 491 nt
Organism: Osmia lignaria (orchard mason bee)
Lineage: Eukaryota; Metazoa; Arthropoda; Insecta; Hymenoptera; Megachilidae
Source: RefSeq, a predicted model, not a curated record